Molecule: transfer RNA, 73 nt
Organism: Ipomoea nil (Japanese morning glory)
Lineage: Eukaryota; Viridiplantae; Streptophyta; Magnoliopsida; Solanales; Convolvulaceae
Rfam family: tRNA
About the family: Transfer RNA (tRNA) molecules are approximately 80 nucleotides in length. Their secondary structure includes four short double-helical elements and three loops (D, anti-codon, and T loops).
Source: Rfam
UACUCCAUGGCCUAAUGGAUAAGGUGUUGGUCUACGAAACCAGAGAUCCUGGGUUUGAUCCCCAGUGGAGUCG